Molecule: ribosomal RNA, 434 nt
Filed under: uncultured bacterium
Lineage: Bacteria
Description: partial 16S ribosomal RNA
Rfam family: Bacterial small subunit ribosomal RNA
Source: RNAcentral
AGCGAACGCUGGCGGCAGGCCUAACACAUGCAAGUCGAACGAACCUUUCGGGGUUAGUGGCGGACGGGUGAGUAACACGUUGGAACGUGCCUUUAGGUUCGGAAUAACUCAGUGAAACUUGUGCUAAUACCGAAUGUGCCCUUCUGGGGAAAGAUUUAUCGCCUUUAGAGCGGCCCGCGUCUGAUUAGCUAGUUGGUUGAGGUAAUGGCUCACCAAGGCGACGAUCAGUAGCUGGUCUGAGAGGAUGAUCAGCCACAUUGGGACUGAGACACGGCCCAAACUCCUACGGGAGGCAGCAGUGGGGAAUCUUGCGCAAUGGGCGAAAGCCUGACGCAGCCAUGCCGCGUGAAUGAUGAAGGUCUUAGGAUUGUAAAAUUCUUUCACCGGGGACGAUAAUGACGGUACCCGGAGAAGAAGCCCCGGCUAACUUCGUG